RNAcentral lists this ribosomal RNA (271 nucleotides) under uncultured bacterium. RNAcentral describes it as "partial 16S ribosomal RNA". It matches the Rfam family "Bacterial small subunit ribosomal RNA", at positions 78 to 354 of the family's 1533-position model. The record is from RNAcentral.
CUUAUGCCGGCGACCGGCGGACGGGUGCGUAACGCGUAUGUAACCUACCUUUGACAGGGGGAUAACAUCGAGAAAUUGGUACUAAUACCCCAUAACAUCACCGGAAGCAUCUUCGGUGGUUGAAAACUCAGGUGGUCAGAGAUGGACAUGCGUUGUAUUAGCUAGUUGGUGAGGUAACGGCUCACCAAGGCGACGAUACAUAGGGGGACUGAGAGGUCAACCCCCCACAUUGGUACUGAGACACGGACCAAACUCCUACGGGAGGCAGCAG